GUGAGAAAUCUGAAUAGUAGAGAGCUGAAGGGGAGGAGCCACAAGCGUCAGUCAAAAGGGGAGGAGCCACAAGCGUCAGUCAGUCUGAGUUUCCACCUCUGGUCCCCAAGUCUUCAGAAGGACCUAUUGGAACUGGAAAUGGACAAGAAUAGAACAUCCAAGAUGAUCAGGAGACUGGAGAAGUUCCUGUAUGAAGAGAGAUGAAAAACUUAGGGCACUUUUAUUUGUUUUGUUGACCUCCGGUUUAUCAGUUUGGUUAUCAGUUUGGUGUGGCCACCACAGUUUGAUUCAGUUCCUCUAAUUAAAAUCACUUUGGAUGAGAGA
Long non-coding RNA from Ornithorhynchus anatinus (platypus), 324 nucleotides. RefSeq lists it as uncharacterized. The record is from RefSeq and is a predicted model, not a curated record. The transcript is spliced from 2 exons. Lineage: Eukaryota; Metazoa; Chordata; Mammalia; Monotremata; Ornithorhynchidae.